GAUGAACGCUGGCGGCGUGCCUAAUACAUGCAAGUCGAGCGAACGGACGAGAAGCUUGCUUCUCUGAUGUUAGCGGCGGACGGGUGAGUAACACGUGGAUAACCUACCUAUAAGACUGGGAUAACUUCGGGAAACCGGAGCUAAUACCGGAUAAUAUUUUGAACCGCAUGGUUCAAAAGUGAAAGACGGUCUUGCUGUCACUUAUAGAUGGAUCCGCGCUGCAUUAGCUAGUUGGUAAGGUAACGGCUUACCAAGGCAACGAUGCAUAGCCGACCUGAGAGGGUGAUCGGCCACACUAGAACUGAGACACGGUCCAGACUCCUACGGGAGGCAGCAGUAGGGAAUCUUCCGCAAUGGGCGGAAGCCUGACGGAGCAACGCCGCGUGAGUGAUGAAGGUCUUCGGAUCGUAAAACUCUGUUAUUAGGGAAGAACAUAUGUGUAAGUAACUGUGCACAUCCUGACGGUACCUAAUCAGAAAGCCACGGCUAACUACGUG
RNAcentral lists this ribosomal RNA (497 nucleotides) under uncultured bacterium. RNAcentral describes it as "partial 16S ribosomal RNA". It matches the Rfam family "Bacterial small subunit ribosomal RNA", at positions 28 to 507 of the family's 1533-position model. The record is from RNAcentral.